Molecule: ribosomal RNA, 442 nt
Filed under: uncultured bacterium
Lineage: Bacteria
Description: partial 16S ribosomal RNA
Rfam family: Bacterial small subunit ribosomal RNA
Source: RNAcentral
CCUACGGGAGGCUGCAGUGGGGAAUAUUGGGCAAUGGGCGCAAGCCUGACCCAGCAACGCCGCGUGAAGGAAGAAGGCUUUCGGGUUGUAAACUUCUUUUAAGAGGGAAGAGCAGAAGACGGUACCUCUUGAAUAAGCCACGGCUAACUACGUGCAAGCAGCCGCGGUAAUACGUAGGUGGCAAGCGUUGUCCGGAUUUACUGGGUUUAAAGGGCGGGUAGCCGGGCUGACAAGUUAGAUGUGAAAUCCCGUGGCUCAACCACGGAACUGCAUUUGAAACUGUCUGUCUUGAGUAUCGGGGAGGCAGGCGGAAUUCCUAGGGUAGCGGUGAAAUGCGUAGAUAUUAGGAGGAACACCAGUGGCGAAGGCGGCCUGCUGGACGACAACUGACGGUGAGGCGCGAAAGCGUGGGGAGCAAACAGGAUUAGAUACCCUUGUAGUC